RNAcentral lists this microRNA precursor (212 nucleotides) under Prunus persica (peach). The record is from RNAcentral. Lineage: Eukaryota; Viridiplantae; Streptophyta; Magnoliopsida; Rosales; Rosaceae.
GACAGGAAGGGAGGCCUUACAUGAAGGAAAGAGUCUUGUUUGGUAGCCAAGGAUGACUUGCCUGCCUCCAGUUUCAUGAGCUUUUACCUAUAAUUAAUUAAUCUGCAGCUUCUUCACAUUAAUAUUGUGCCAAAUUCCUGUUAGGCUGCCAGGCAGUCACCUUGGCUAAUCUCGCAGGCUCUUCUCUUUCAUGCUAGGCCUCUUCUUCCUUC